RNAcentral lists this ribosomal RNA (468 nucleotides) under uncultured bacterium. Its description in RNAcentral is "partial 16S ribosomal RNA". It matches the Rfam family "Bacterial small subunit ribosomal RNA", at positions 28 to 507 of the family's 1533-position model. The record is from RNAcentral.
GACGAACGCUGGCGGCGUGCUUAACACAUGCAAGUCGAACGGAAAGGCCCUGCUUUUGUGGGUUUCUCGAGUGGCGAACGGGUGAGUAACACGUGAGUAACCUGCCCUUGACUUUGUGAUAACUUCAGGAAACUGGGGCUAAUACCGGAUAUGAGCUCCUGCUGCAUGGUGGUGGUUGGAAAGUUUCGGCGGUUGGGGAUGGAUUCGCUGCUUAUCAACUUGUUGGUGGGGUAGUGGCUUACCAAGGCUUUGACGGGUAGCCGGCAUGAGAGGGUGACCGGCCACAUUGGGACUGAGAUACGGCCCAGACUCCUACGGGAGGCAGCAGUGGGGAAUAUUGCACAAUGGGCGGAAGCCUGAUGCAGCAACGCCGCGAGCGGGAUGACGGCCUUCGGGCUGUAAACAGAUUUCGACUGUGACGAAGAGUGAGUGACGGUAAUGGGUAAAGAAGCACCGGCUAACUACGUG